GAUGAAGAACGCAGCAAAAUGCGAUAAGUAAUGUGAAUUGCAGAAUUCAGUGAAUCAUCGAAUCUUUGAACGCACAUUGCGCCCGCCAGUAUUCUGGCGGGCAUGCCUGUUCGAGCGUCAUUUCAACCCUCAAGCACAGCUUGGUGUUGGGACUCGCGUUAAUUCGCGUUCCCCAAAUUGAUUGGCGGUCACGUCGAGCUUCCAUAGCGUAGUAGUAAAACCCUCAUUACUGGUAAUCGUCGCGGCCACGCCGUUAAACCCCAACUUCUGAAUGUUGACCUCGGAUCAGGUAGGAAUACCCGCUGAACUUAAGCAUAUCAAUAAGCGGAGGA
This 332-nucleotide unclassified non-coding RNA is filed under the name soil metagenome. RNAcentral's name for it is "partial contains 5.8S ribosomal RNA, internal transcribed spacer 2, and large subunit ribosomal RNA". The stretch from base 1 to 120 matches the Rfam family "5.8S ribosomal RNA", at positions 35 to 154 of the family's 154-position model. The record is from RNAcentral.